GGUUAAGCGACUAAGCGUACACGGUGGAUGCCCUGGCAGUCAGAGGCGAUGAAGGACGUGCUAAUCUGCGAUAAGCGUCGGUAAGGUGAUAUGAACCGUUAUAACCGGCGAUUUCCGAAUGGGGAAACCCAGUGUGUUUCGACACACUAUCAUUAACUGAAUCCAUAGGUUAAUGAGGCGAACCGGGGGAACUGAAACAUCUAAGUACCCCGAGGAAAAGAAAUCAACCGAGAUUCCCCCAGUAGCGGCGAGCGAACGGGGAGCAGCCCAGAGCCUGAAUCAGUGUGUGUGUUAGUGGAAGCGUCUGGAAAGGCGCGCGAUACAGGGUGACAGCCCCGUACACAAAAAUGCACAUGCUGUGAGCUCGAUGAGUAGGGCGGGACACGUGGUAUCCUGUCUGAAUAUGGGGGGACCAUCCUCCAAGGCUAAAUACUCCUGACUGACCGAUAGUGAACCAGUACCGUGAGGGAAAGGCGAAAAGAACCCCGGCGAGGGGAGUGAAAAAGAACCUGAAACCGUGUACGUACAAGCAGUGGGAGCACGCUUAGGCGUGUGACUGCGUACCUUUUGUAUAAUGGGUCAGCGACUUAUAUUCUGUAGCAAGGUUAACCGAAUAGGGGAGCCGAAGGGAAACCGAGUCUUAACUGGGCGUUAAGUUGCAGGGUAUAGACCCGAAACCCGGUGAUCUAGCCAUGGGCAGGUUGAAGGUUGGGUAACACUAACUGGAGGACCGAACCGACUAAUGUUGAAAAAUUAGCGGAUGACUUGUGGCUGGGGGUGAAAGGCCAAUCAAACCGGGAGAUAGCUGGUUCUCCCCGAAAGCUAUUUAGGUAGCGCCUCGUGAAUUCAUCUCCGGGGGUAGAGCACUGUUUCGGCAAGGGGGUCAUCCCGACUUACCAACCCGAUGCAAACUGCGAAUACCGGAGAAUGUUAUCACGGGAGACACACGGCGGGUGCUAACGUCCGUCGUGAAGAGGGAAACAACCCAGACCGCCAGCUAAGGUCCCAAAGUCAUGGUUAAGUGGGAAACGAUGUGGGAAGGCCCAGACAGCCAGGAUGUUGGCUUAGAAGCAGCCAUCAUUUAAAGAAAGCGUAAUAGCUCACUGGUCGAGUCGGCCUGCGCGGAAGAUGUAACGGGGCUAAACCAUGCACCGAAGCUGCGGCAGCGACACUAUGUGUUGUUGGGUAGGGGAGCGUUCUGUAAGCCUGUGAAGGUGUGCUGUGAGGCAUGCUGGAGGUAUCAGAAGUGCGAAUGCUGACAUAAGUAACGAUAAAGCGGGUGAAAAGCCCGCUCGCCGGAAGACCAAGGGUUCCUGUCCAACGUUAAUCGGGGCAGGGUGAGUCGACCCCUAAGGCGAGGCCGAAAGGCGUAGUCGAUGGGAAACAGGUUAAUAUUCCUGUACUUGGUGUUACUGCGAAGGGGGGACGGAGAAGGCUAUGUUGGCCGGGCGACGGUUGUCCCGGUUUAAGCGUGUAGGCUGGUUUUCCAGGCAAAUCCGGAAAAUCAAGGCUGAGGCGUGAUGACGAGGCACUACGGUGCUGAAGCAACAAAUGCCCUGCUUCCAGGAAAAGCCUCUAAGCAUCAGGUAACAUCAAAUCGUACCCCAAACCGACACAGGUGGUCAGGUAGAGAAUACCAAGGCGCUUGAGAGAACUCGGGUGAAGGAACUAGGCAAAAUGGUGCCGUAACUUCGGGAGAAGGCACGCUGAUAUGUAGGUGAAGUCCCUUGCGGAUGGAGCUGAAAUCAGUCGAAGAUACCAGCUGGCUGCAACUGUUUAUUAAAAACACAGCACUGUGCAAACACGAAAGUGGACGUAUACGGUGUGACGCCUGCCCGGUGCCGGAAGGUUAAUUGAUGGGGUCAGCGCAAGCGAAGCUCUUGAUCGAAGCCCCGGUAAACGGCGGCCGUAACUAUAACGGUCCUAAGGUAGCGAAAUUCCUUGUCGGGUAAGUUCCGACCUGCACGAAUGGCGUAAUGAUGGCCAGGCUGUCUCCACCCGAGACUCAGUGAAAUUGAACUCGCUGUGAAGAUGCAGUGUACCCGCGGCAAGACGGAAAGACCCCGUGAACCUUUACUAUAGCUUGACACUGAACAUUGAGCCUUGAUGUGUAGGAUAGGUGGGAGGCUUUGAAGUGUGGACGCCAGUCUGCAUGGAGCCGACCUUGAAAUACCACCCUUUAAUGUUUGAUGUUCUAACGUUGACCCGUAAUCCGGGUUGCGGACAGUGUCUGGUGGGUAGUUUGACUGGGGCGGUCUCCUCCUAAAGAGUAACGGAGGAGCACGAAGGUUGGCUAAUCCUGGUCGGACAUCAGGAGGUUAGUGCAAUGGCAUAAGCCAGCUUGACUGCGAGCGUGACGGCGCGAGCAGGUGCGAAAGCAGGUCAUAGUGAUCCGGUGGUUCUGAAUGGAAGGGCCAUCGCUCAACGGAUAAAAGGUACUCCGGGGAUAACAGGCUGAUACCGCCCAAGAGUUCAUAUCGACGGCGGUGUUUGGCACCUCGAUGUCGGCUCAUCACAUCCUGGGGCUGAAGUAGGUCCCAAGGGUAUGGCUGUUCGCCAUUUAAAGUGGUACGCGAGCUGGGUUUAGAACGUCGUGAGACAGUUCGGUCCCUAUCUGCCGUGGGCGCUGGAGAACUGAGGGGGGCUGCUCCUAGUACGAGAGGACCGGAGUGGACGCAUCACUGGUGUUCGGGUUGUCAUGCCAAUGGCACUGCCCGGUAGCUAAAUGCGGAAGAGAUAAGUGCUGAAAGCAUCUAAGCACGAAACUUGCCCCGAGAUGAGUUCUCCCUGACCCUUUAAGGGUCCUGAAGGAACGUUGAAGACGACGACGUUGAUAGGCCGGGUGUGUAAGCGCAGCGAUGCGUUGAGCUAACCGGUACUAAUGAACCGUGAGGCUUAACCUU
This 2903-nucleotide ribosomal RNA is filed under the name Escherichia coli. RNAcentral describes it as "23S ribosomal RNA". It matches the Rfam family "Bacterial large subunit ribosomal RNA". Lineage: Bacteria; Pseudomonadati; Pseudomonadota; Gammaproteobacteria; Enterobacterales; Enterobacteriaceae. The record is from RNAcentral.